UCCAGGAUGGCCGAGUGGUUAAGGCGUUGGACUUAAGUUCCAAUGUACGAAUCUACGCGUGGGUCCAACCCCACUCCUGUUA
Molecule: transfer RNA, 82 nt
Filed under: Nematostella vectensis (starlet sea anemone)
Lineage: Eukaryota; Metazoa; Cnidaria; Anthozoa; Actiniaria; Edwardsiidae
Rfam family: tRNA
About the family: Transfer RNA (tRNA) molecules are approximately 80 nucleotides in length.
Source: Rfam by way of RNAcentral